UACGAGGGGUCCUAGCGUUGCUCGGAAUCAUUGGGCGUAAAGCGGGUGUAGGCGGACAAUCAAGUCAGAUGUGAAAGCCCCAGGCUCAACCUGGGAAGUGCAUUUGAAACUGGUUAUCUUGAGUGCAGUAGAGGAAGGUGGAAUUCCAAGUGUAGUGGUGAAAUACGUAGAUAUUUGGAGGAACAUCGGUGGCGAAGGCGACCUUCUGGACUGUUACUGACGCUGAGACCCGAAAGCGUGGGGAUCAAACAGG
RNAcentral lists this ribosomal RNA (253 nucleotides) under uncultured bacterium. RNAcentral describes it as "partial 16S ribosomal RNA". It matches the Rfam family "Bacterial small subunit ribosomal RNA", at positions 524 to 776 of the family's 1533-position model. The record is from RNAcentral.